RNAcentral lists this small nuclear RNA (331 nucleotides) under Anolis carolinensis (green anole). Its description in RNAcentral is "7SK RNA". It matches the Rfam family "7SK RNA", at positions 1 to 286 of the family's 331-position model. From Rfam's summary of the family: 7SK was discovered as an abundant small nuclear RNA in the mid-70s but a possible function has only recently been suggested. Two independent studies have found that 7SK RNA binds the CDK9/cyclin T complex (known as elongation factor P-TEFb). The record is from Rfam by way of RNAcentral. Lineage: Eukaryota; Metazoa; Chordata; Lepidosauria; Squamata; Anolidae.
GGAUGUGAGGGUGAUCUGGCUGCAACAUCUGUCACCCCAUUGAUUGCCAGGGUUGAUCUGGCUGGUCUGGCUUGCUAGUCGGGUAUCCCCUUCCUCCCUCACCUCUCAAUGUGCAUCCCUACGAAGCUACGUGUUUGGUGGAAGAGGACAAUGUCCCAGGUAUAGCAGGAGUGUACCAAGGUCUCCAGUCAUCAGUCCUGGGUAUAUGAUAGCUGCUGUCCUCUGCUAGAACCUCCAAACAAGUCAAGGUAUCUAGUUUUUUUUGUUGUGUUUUUUUUUGCUUAAUGGCCCAUUUCUUUGGAGAGUGUAUUAUACAGCUCCAGAAAUGUCU